This 253-nucleotide ribosomal RNA is filed under the name uncultured prokaryote. RNAcentral's name for it is "partial 16S ribosomal RNA". It matches the Rfam family "Bacterial small subunit ribosomal RNA", at positions 524 to 776 of the family's 1533-position model. The record is from RNAcentral.
UACGGAGGGUGCGAGCGUUGUCCGGAAUCACUGGGCGUAAAGGGCGCGUAGGUGACCGAGCAAGGUCGCGGUGAAAGCCCGGGGCUCAACCCCGGGUCGGCCGUGGCAACUACUCGGCUUGAGCACUGUAGGGGCGGGUGGAAUUCCGGGUGUAGCGGUGAAAUGCGUAGAUAUCUGGAGGAACACCGGUGGCGAAGGCGACAUCCUGGACCGGUAUUGACGCUGAGGCGCGAAAGCCAGGGGAGCAAACGGG